This is a long non-coding RNA of Vitis vinifera (wine grape), 2376 nucleotides long. RefSeq lists it as uncharacterized. The record is from RefSeq and is a predicted model, not a curated record. NCBI's taxonomy places the organism in Eukaryota, Viridiplantae, Streptophyta, Magnoliopsida, Vitales, Vitaceae. The transcript is spliced from 5 exons.
GGCAAGUCUCUCUCUACUCGCUGCCUGCUACUCGCUACAAGGGGACCGAUAAACCCACACUUCCUAAGAAGGUAAGAACCAGAGGCGAGUACUCACCAACAGAGAUGGAACCCACUAUGGAGCCGCAGAAUCCCAGAUUAGAGUCUAGUUUUUCUGGUGUUGAAGAAGAAGAAGAAGAGAAGCAUUUUCUUUCACAUUUUCUUCUCUUAAGCGACCAGGAGCAAGGAUAACUUCCUCAAUUAUAGUUCAAGCCUAUGUAUUUUUAUGGGUCUUCCUCGUAGCAAGGGUGACAUGAGACAACUUGUGGCAACAAUAUCACCAUCUUCUUUACCAAGCAAGUGGUCAAGUUUCCAAUUUAUUUGGCAUACUCAUGACUGAUUACUUGGCUAAUAGAGAUCAAUUUGUUAAACUUGUCAAGAAACCAAGAUUCAAGAAGAAAUUGAAAUCGAGCUUGGUGUGGACUCCAAGUGUACUUCGAAAGAAGAAUGUGAAAAACUGAAAGUGGAAGAUAUUAGUCAAGUGAUCCGGGAAGGAUUGGUAGGCUUGAGUUAGGUAAAAUCUUGUAUUUAGUUUUUAUUCUUCAUAGCAGAUGUUUUCGAUCAGUUGUAGGCCCAUGGUUUUUUAUCUAUUCGGAGGUUUUCCACAUUAAAAUCUUCUUCGAAGGUUUUCCACGUUUAAAAUAUGGUGUCAAUUGUUUUUUUCUCUCAUUUUACUCUUUGAUUUAUUUUCAGUUUUUGAUAUCAUUAGUUACUGGACAUAUAUGUUGAAUGAAAGAAAAAUGAGUUGAAGUAGGUGUGAUUAUCCAUUGAAUAUCUUGAAUAAUUUUUUUAUUCAUUUUUGUUAAUGAUAUCUUGUAGUUUUUGGCAACGAGUUAAGGAGAUUAUUGUUUUUAUGAAUCAAUCUUGGGGAGUGUUGAAGCAUUUGCAUGUGACUUGCAUUUGAAUUUGUUGGAAGAGUAUUGUUGCAUCCAUUUUUGUAUGUGAUAUUUACUUUGUGUUGCAAAGUGUUUGAAGAGGAAAGUUGAGAUUUGUAAAAGUUUAUAAGGUUAGGUAAUUUUUAGUGGGAGAUUUUUAAAAUGUUCAACAACACAUAUUCAAUCCUGUUCUCCUCCAUUAUUGAGAUUCAUCUUUCAAUUUGUAUUAGAAUGGGUUUUUUUUUAGUAAUUUAGUUUUUUUCUUUAACUUUUCUAAGGACAAUAAAAAAAAAAAAAAUCUAGAUAAAUAUUUUAUUUCUUGUCUUGAAAAUUUUCAAUCUGUUUAUUUCUUUUUGGACUUAAAUUUCAAAGCAAAUUACCUUUUUCCUUUUUUCCUAUUUUUUGGCCUUUUUUUUUCAACUUAUAUCUCUUAUUAGAUAUUUUCAUUUGAAUGAAAAAAAAAAAUCCAAAAUGCCCAAAAUGCUUAGCUCUUUUUCUCAUAAAGAAAGUGAGAAAAAACAAAUUUUUUUCAUCCUAAACUUUCGCACAAACUUAUUCAUAAAGUAUGUUUAUUUUUCUUGAAUCUUUUAAGUAUAUUUGGGAAUUUUCGGGUUCGGCUGAUAAACCCCUUAAACAUAGUUGUCCCUUUCCUUUUCCCAUUCAACAGCCAGUUAUUCUGAUAACAUUAACUUAAAGUCCUCAGCCUUCCGCAACGAGAAGACUCACCUGCAACAUCCCAAAACCCUAAACUCCCACCUCUGUGAAAGGAGUACAAAUUGAAUCUAUCAAAGUACACAUGCCCAAGUUGCUUUGUGCGCUCCUGUAGUCUUCCUUGUGUAAAAGCUCACAAGCAACACACUGGGGUGUACGGGCAAGAGCUAGCGGACCCAGUUCGUUCCCCUCUCUCAAUUUGACGAUAAUCUCCUCUUAUCUGGUAAUUUUUUCUCCCAAUUUUGUUCUUUAUUAUCAAAUUUCAAUACCCAUUUGGCUAUUCUGAAGGUUUGUCAUGAGUGGAUUGUGGUCACCAUUGAGGAAGUUUACUGUUUUUUUCUUUUCCUUGAAAUUUCGAUAAGUUUCACCAUUUUCAAGAUGUUCAGUAAUGGUGUAUUGUAAUUAGCUUGAGGAAUUUUGCUAUUUGAUCUUCAUAGUACAGUGUUUUCUUUUGCUGGUUUGUCCAUUCCUUUACAGGUAUGUUUUAAUUUAAUACAAUUUUUUUUAUAUCUUUUGGCUUCUUUGAAGGUUUUUCUGUGUAGUAUUACACGAUGUGUAAUUGGCUUGAGGAAGUUGAAUGUUUUGUCUUCAAAUUUCAAAGUUCGGAUACAAAUUUAGGGUUUCAAAGUUUUUUCAUGGGUUGAUUGUUAAUUUAUGUGAAGAAGGUUGCCACUUUUUCAUAUCAAUGUUAUUUAAAAAAUUAGUAGUCAAACUAGUUUUUGAACUCAAUGAAUAGUCUUUGGCCUUUAUUU